RNAcentral lists this transfer RNA (526 nucleotides) under uncultured Prochlorococcus sp. RNAcentral's name for it is "partial 16S-23S ribosomal RNA intergenic spacer". The stretch from base 211 to 283 matches the Rfam family "tRNA". The record is from RNAcentral. Lineage: Bacteria; Bacillati; Cyanobacteriota; Cyanophyceae; Synechococcales; Prochlorococcaceae.
CAGGGAGACAACAAAAUGUUAAAUAUUAAUUUUGUCACCUUAGGUCGAUCGGUACCUCACAUUCUUUUAUUAUUUAAGAAUUUUAUUUCCUAAGUUUUUCUAGGUCACACCCAUUAUUUUUCCUGGGCCAUUAGCUCAGGUGGUUAGAGCGCACCCCUGAUAAGGGUGAGGUCCCUGGUUCAAGUCCAGGAUGGCCCAUAUCUCUAUGUUGGGGGUAUAGCUCAGUUGGUAGAGCGCCUGCUUUGCAAGCAGGAUGUCAGCGGUUCGAGUCCGCUUACCUCCACUGAUUACCACCUCUUACAUAAUUUUGAGAGGGAAAUUUUUUUGAGGUGUGAUCAAAUUCUGAACGAAUCUAGCUUCCUAAUCAAUCUUAUUAAGAUGCUGGAUUCAUUGAAUUAAUUUCAUUGUUUUCAGAGAACCUUGACAACUGCAUAGAUUAUUUUUAAAGACAAUAAGCAUCUUUUAAUGAUGCAGAUUUAUUAUUUGUGCGAAUGCAUUAAUAACAAUUCUAUUAGCUGAUGCUUCA